RNAcentral lists this unclassified non-coding RNA (3439 nucleotides) under Leishmania donovani. Its description in RNAcentral is "gene:LdHU3.33.3000(CDS-product:hypothetical_prote in_conserved)". Lineage: Eukaryota; Euglenozoa; Kinetoplastea; Trypanosomatida; Trypanosomatidae. The record is from RNAcentral.
GCGACGCUUCGCACAAUACAAAGGUGGAGCAGGGGUGUGGUGAGGCACCAAACACCUUAUCGCGUGUAGGGGAGAUACCGUCAUCGCCUUCGUGCUUGUCUGCUUGUGCGUGUGCGCGUGUCUGUGUCCUGGCGUCUACGUCGCGAGUCCUUUUGCCUUCUACGGCCCGCACUCCACCUACGCCCAAGCGAAGCGCGGCCUGCCCCUCCAUGUAUCCAGAAGAGGCGAAAGACUGUAGCACACGCAAUCGGGGAGAGGGAGAAACUGCGUGCGACUCAGCAAGACAAGCGCAACGCGUAAGAGAGGAACACAAGACAAACACACAUACACACACAGGCACCUCGUGUGAGACAACGCCGCCUUCUCGUUGGGGAGUUUUUUUUUCUUGUGCUGCCGCUACGCCGCGCCCAAGUGCGCGGAGGGAAGCGGCGGAACCCUUUCGAGAUUCCCAACAACCGCCGCCUCGUGAGCAGGUGAGGCGCCAUGAGGAGCGCGGGGAGGCCCUCCGUCGAUGCUGCACAGCCGCAGGAGGCAGGCAGCACAACGCGCUCCACGACAACAAAGCCUCCGCUGGCACCUGCUGCGAACCCGCCGCCCCUGCCAGCCACUAAUGCCCCUUUCUCGCUGGACGGCUUCAUGGGCAACUUCAGCGGCGCACUGGCCACCACGACCGGAGAUCCAUCCGAGGAGCCGCAGCACGGAAGCACGAGCUACCAAAGAGACCCCUCGAUGUACGCCCCAUUCGCGGCCCAGGAAGGCAACGGUGGCAUGCUCGACUUUUUCUUCUCUGCCGCUGCCUCCGAAACCCCGUGCGCCAGCAGUGCCGGCAGUAACAGCAACAACACGGGCAUCGGCCACGGUGGCGGCGAAGCUGCCAACGGUUUCAACGCCGCGCCAGCAGGACCCCUGGUGGACAACAACAGCGAUGACGACAAAGUUGGCCGACUGAACUUCGACUUCGCCUCCUUUUUUUUCCAAGGUGGGCAGAGCGGCGCCUACGACGACAGCGGACUUGAUGCAGCUGGACGUGGCGACGACGGGGGCGGCGCCGACGCAAGAGGCUCGGAGCACUACACUCAGCGCGGCAGCGCUGACGUGGCGGACAGCACCGGCAAGGGCGUCCUGCCAGCACUGGGCUUCUUUUUUCCAGAGUAUCAAGUAGCCCCGGCAGCGACCGGCGGCUCUUUCAUUCCGCCCUCAACCUCAUGGUGCGUCGAGUCGGCUGCUGGCGCUGGCAACAGAUAUUCACCGCCGCAGGUGCAACCGCAGAAUCCAGAAGCAGUCAGAGAAGCUGCGGCCAGGUUCAAAGUGGACGAAGCGGCUCACACCGUUGCGCAACCCGGUGCGGCGCUGACGGUCCUGAAGCCUGAUCCGACGCACAUUGCCCCCGCCGAUCAAGCGCCCCUGAAGAGACUGCCGUGUGAGCACGCCUCCUCGUCUGCGAUAGAUCAUGAGUGCUCAUUGGCCGCAGCGCUUGCUGCAGCACCAUCUUCGUUGGGCCUGCUCUUGGACGAGGAGUCUCAGCGCACGACGGUGCCGCUCUCGAGCACCAGCGACGCUGAAGAGGCGAAAUGUGACGAAACAUCACCGAGGCUCGUUUCGGACAACUCUUGCCCCAAUCCGGAGGCGUGUGAUAGCAGCGUUGCACAAGGCGUGGCCGAGGAGGACGCAAUGCCCGUCCCGACCCACAGUGGACAACCCCCACCGCGUGCACCUGUAGGCUCGCUGCCCCGCUCUUCGCAUCCACCAGGUGCCGCUCUGGCAGGUGCAGUGGCUACUCCGACACCGCCAUCACCUAGACAGCCACCAGCACCCCUGACACCGUCGACAUCUACGCCGUAUCGCCCAGAGGCCCCCAUGCUGAUGGGGCCAGCUGGCCGCGACGCUACUAGCGUGGCUCUGAGCAAAGCUAUCGCAGAGGCUGAGGAAAUGUGGGCACACGGGCUUGACAUGGAAUCGAUUACCUGCCCUGAGGGUCCGAAUGAGGAGAUGGGCAUGUCGUCUUUCGGUUCCACGCCAUCCUCUUCCUCCGACGCGGUCUUCUUUGCAGAGGUGGCGCAGCUGCAACAGCAGACAGCACGACUAACGGAGGAGUCUGCCCGAUCCGCCACCUCUCUUCAAGCUCUAACGAGCGACCUGCUCCGCAUUGUCGGCCCCCACGCGGCGCUUUCGAGACUCGCGGGAGAGCAGUACGCCGGGACGCCGCUGGUUCAUCUGCCGUGGGCCCUGAUUGCAGUGCUGGAGGGAUUACUGAAUAACGACGCAGCUGAAGAGAAGGCGGAAGGUCAACUGGUGGCACCUCGCCCCUCUAGCGAUGGUGCGGAGAUUGGCAGCAGCGGUGGCCAUGACGUCUGACACGCAGUACCGCCAAGAGAGGGAUCUCCCCCCGAUAUUCGAACCGAGAGGCCUGAUAUCUUGCUGCCCACAUCUCUCAAGGCCUUUGCCACUUACUCUUCCUCUUGCCUCACGAAUUCGUCUCGCGUAUGCCGACGUAUGUGACGGCGUUGGCCGCGUCGGUGCUGAGUUGCACGUGACGGCUGCCAACGACAAGCCUCCCGUUUCCCCUCUCGCUCUGAAAAACCUCGGCUUCUCGCACGCGCGCGUUCUCAAGGACGAGGCUGCACGCCGGCAGGGGCGCGGUGGCGUGCUAACUCCCUGGAAGAACGGCCGAAGCAACCGAAAAAGACGUGCACGUCAGCCCUCGUGCGAACUGCUGCUUCAGCCCAUGUAUACGCACUGCCACCGAAACCCAAACGCACAUGCGAACAAGUCUACACACACACACACACGGAUACAAUCGGGUCGCGUUCUCCACUCGGCCAUCUCUCAGUUGCUUGCAUUGAUGGCAUCAGCUGUCGCGCACAUGCGUAUCUUCUCAUAGAGCCGUAGGGCUCCAUUUCCCGACUGCUCCGCUGCGGUUCUUUGUCGCGUCGGCGGUUGUCCGUGUACACGCGUCCUUGUACGCGAUGCCAUGUGCUUGGCACGUGGAUCGUUUGGAAAGCGCCGUGUUCUGCUCCUGCCUGCUCUUGUCUCUGCUCACCUUUGUUUUUGCUGAAGUGCUGGUAAUCGUUGAAGAGGAAGAAGAUGUGAUGCUCUCACGAGGCUCCGUGCGGAUGGUUCGCUGCCUCGCAUGCGUGACGUGUGCGGCAGUGCCUGGGCGCGUCUGUUUCGUUCUUUCGACCCUGGCAGCGCGGCAUGCGGGAAUGCACGGAGGAGGGUGCCCUCCGAUACGCAUCGACACGCGAGUGUGACUCUCCGGUCUCCCAAGUCUGUGUCUUCUCGCAUGUUUUGCUCCGCCGCUUACAGUGUGCUGGUGUGUGCGCAAGUGCUCUCCUCGCUCGACGCACGCACCACCAUGUGCUCACUGGCACCGCCAUCGUCUUUUCUGCGCCCUUCCUCUCUCUCUAACACGCACUUGCUGUUUACGCCAACAUUCAAG